GGAGUUACAAACUAUACUUAAAACAGAAAUAGAGCACUGAAGCAUCCCAUAUUAAGGAUUUCAACACCAACCAUUAUCAACUCAAUUUACCAGAGUAAUCACCACUUUGCAUCAUUUGCCUCAUUGCUCAGCACCGCACUCGGCAUCGAGAUUCCAUCACUCACUUCACCUGAAAAACAAAGUUCUCUGCACUAUUAGUUUGAUCAUUCACCACGUUCAUAUUUGCUGCUCCAAACUUGCAUUUUAUCCUACAUUUUAACCUCAAGAAAUUCCAUGUUAACACAAUUUUGUUCCAAGAAAAGCUCUUCAAAUCUUCAAUAACUAAAUGUUCUCCUGGAAAUCAAUAUUUAGGAAUAAGAAAAUCUAGUAUCAUAUGAAAAAUCAAUAAUAAAAGCAAAAAAGACAAUUUCCAAAAUUUGUCAAUAUACAUAUAUAUAUAUACAUAUAUGUGUGUGUGUGUGUAUAUAUAUAUAUAUAUUGAUAAAAAAACUACAACAAGGAGUGGACCAAUUGUCAGAUAUAACAACAAUAAUGAAUUGAAUGAAGAAAAUAGAUCAGCUCAUGUAUUUUUUUUCCAAAAAUCAAACCCAACUCCAAAUUGAUAUAAAUUUGCAAAAUUAAACAGUAUUUCACAACUCAGUUAAGACAAGAAAAUGGUUCAAGAGAGGGUGAACCAAACCUGGUCUGGUGAUGUCUCAAGUGACCACAUAGCAAGGGUCAUGAAGUCAGUGGCUUCACAUGUUACUAUCUUCGAAUUUCGUCCAAUCACUUAGCUGGUGUGAAGAGGAAAGUAUAGUCAAAUUAUUUUCAGUUUUCAAUAAACCCAGAGUACGUUUUUUAUUUUUUAUUUUGUAGUGACAUUUUACAAACAAUCAAUGAGCCACUACAGAUGCAAUUGAUUUUCAGUUUCCAAUGCAUGCGCAUUGGAUACCACUUUCAUAUAUAAACUGUAAUAGAGAUGCUAGAAUUGCAAUGAAGAUUUUCAGGAUACCCAUAAGUUGUCUGACAGAACAACUGUAAUGUUUUGAACAAUCGGCAGAGGUACUCAUGGCAAUAAAAUUUAUAAAACUUGCAAAUAUAAUUUCAUUUCUCGUAGAUAUUUUACAAGAAAAUCUGUAGUGCCUUCAUCUAUAAUGUUCAUCAACUUGUUGAAGCACAAUUUGGUGUUGUAUUGCUUUCUCUAACAAGUACAAAACCCACGAAAAGAAUCUCACUCUUCAAGCAGAGUAACAAACUCAACCUUAUAUCCUUGCAACAUGUAGCCCUUCACUUUCUUCCUCUUCUUUUGUCUUGUCCUCAUAGUUCUCAUGAUUUGAGCUCGAUAAUAAUUGCUGAUCAUUUUGUAUGUUGGUACCACCACUCUUUACCAAGGAUAGCUGAUCCAUGGCAAUAGCAUUCCUUUUAUAGUUCCAAACAAGCAUUGAAACAUAGUCCUGAGGAGAAACAAGACCCUGUUCUCUAAUGCAACUUCGCUGCUCUUCCAGAGUUUUGGGAUCAUCAAGCCUUAUAUAUUCAAUCAAUGCCUUCUCAUGAUCAGGUCUCCAGUUCCCUGGGAAGGGUGUAUAAUCAGCUUCAGGAACAAGAGACAUUCUAGUGAACAGAAGCCCAUCAAUUGAUUCAACAAGGCCCAUCCUAAGCAAAUUUUGGUAAUCAGGUGACUGCCCUUUCUUCUCUUUCAGAGGACGACCCAAAUUCCUAGCACCAAUUUUAUACACCUUUGCCCGUGAACGAAGCUUGUAUUUUGCAGCAUAGAGCUUCGCAAGUGAACCCCUAAUGAUGUAAGAACAAAAAUUAACAAUUUUCUUCCGGUUGUCAGCAUAUCGAUACCAUUCAACCAUGGCUAACAAGAACUUGUUCAUUUGCGCAUUCGUGUGAGCUUGAGUGGCAUGGAACAUUCUGAAACAAGGCUGAGGAUCAGGAUCCCUAUCCCCCUUGAGAAAGUUCAAUUUCCUAAAUUGCUUGAUGCAUUGUUUCAAGCUAGCAGUGACUGAUAAGAGGGUGCCCACACCUUUUUCACUAAUAAUCUUCCCUCCAGUGGCUGUAUAACGAAGAGUAGGAUAAACAACUCUCCUACACAACACAUGGUCAAGAAACAUUAUACCCUUAGUUAUAUGUUCAAUAGGGAGGCUUUCGUUGUCAAGCUUGAGCAUAUAUCUUUGAUCAACAAACUCUAUUAGUUGCUUCCUCAGAGUUGCUGCAUCUGCCCUAGGUCCUCGAAUGCCAAUCAAAAUAUGGCCACCAUAACGUACAUAAUCCAUUUUUCUGGUCUUAUCUGGUCCACUAGUUGGCACAAACUCUGGCCAAGAUGUAUUUCCCUGUUCAGCUUCUCCUUCUGGGCUAUUCCAUAUGACAUCACUCUUCGAAGGUCGAUAAAACUCCUUAAUCUUCCUCUCCAUCCAACGGUCCAAUUCAUCAAGACAAAUAUUAGCCAAAAGAGGACUAAGAAUUCCACAGUGACCCCAUUUAGGAUGCUUCUCUGCCUCCUCUGGAGCAAACCCAAAAAAAGACUCUAACCAAUAAGGGUCUGGCUUUGGCUCAUCCUCUGCCAACACUCUCUUCUUCUGAUACUUUCUCUUUGUCUUUUUCUUCUUCUCUCCCUCAUCAACUCGACUCGUGAUUACUGGUGUAACCAAAGCCGAUUUCACCAAAUCAAUCACCUUCUUAUCCCUCACAUCCCUCAUCAAAGCAUUAAUCACCAAACCCACCUUCAUUCCAUCCAAAACUGUACUCAAAUCCCCUUUUAUAUACCACAAAUACCCUGCAAAAUUCCUCCUAAUCACCCUCAAUACCGUGUGUGCAUUCCUCCCCGGCCUAAACGCAUACGACUUUUGUGAAAACCUUGACUCAUAUAUUGGCUCCAAAAUCAUAAACAACACCUCCUGAACUAUCUUAUCCUGAAAUGGGGCUGGUUGUGUUGUAGUCAAUAUGGCCUUAAUCUUCCUCUUAGAUAAAGAUUCAUAAUCAGUCUUAUCUCUAGGCGAUUUUAUAAAGAACUGUAACCUAGCACCCCAUUUAAACCUAUCAUCAAGAACAGCAUUUCUUAAAGUUAACAAAUCCUCUAAUGCUGAUUUCUGAAUAGCACUACGAGGAAUAUACGUGCCCGUUUCAUCAGCAUAUACUUUUUGAUAAGCUAAUACCCACAACUCAAACCUACGAAUAUAAGACGUUAAAUUGGUAACAAUCCUAUCGGGUUCACGAAAAUUUUCAAUCCACAUCUGUGAACAAACUGAGACACCAUCUUCUUUCAUCAGGUUUGUUGGGUCAUCAGGAUCCGGUGCACGCCGCUGCAUCGGAUAGAACGAAAGACAGCGAAAAAAUGAGAACCCAUUUGACUUAGGGUUUAGUGGGUUUACUUGGUGAUGGAAGAUAGUGGCAGAGACAAGAUUGUGAUUUGUGAGAAUACGAUGGCUGAAAAUGGUGAGGUGACGAUACAUCAGGAGAAAGAUAGUGAAAUAAUCAAUCACAACCUUUUAGCUACUAUGUCAUUUGUGGGUUUUGCAAACAAGAUAAUUUACAAAAUUAAGAGUACUUACUUGAUAAUUGAAAUGGUUUCUGGCUGCACUUCAGCUCGAAUUUUGGAUUUUGAAAAUACAAAACAAAACCCUCCCCUCGCAACGUUAAAACCCUGUUCUUUC
This 3635-nucleotide long non-coding RNA is filed under the name Citrus maxima (pomelo). Its description in RNAcentral is "long non-coding RNA (CMAX_LNC002923)". Lineage: Eukaryota; Viridiplantae; Streptophyta; Magnoliopsida; Sapindales; Rutaceae. The record is from RNAcentral.